GAGUUUGAUCGUGGCUCAGAUUGAACGCUGGCGGCAUGCCUUACACAUGCAAGUCGAACGGUAACAGGUCUUCGGAUGCUGACGAGUGGCGAACGGGUGAGUAAUACAUCGGAACGUGCCCGAUCGUGGGGGGAUAACGAGGCGAAAGCUUUGCUAAUACCGCAUACGAUCUACGGAUGAAAGCGGGGGAUCUUCGGACCUCGCGCGGACGGAGCGGCCGAUGGCAGAUUAGGUAGUUGGUGGGAUAAAAGCUUACCAAGCCGACGAUCUGUAGCUGGUCUGAGAGGAUGAUCAGCCACACUGGGACUGAGACACGGCCCAGACUCCUACGGGAGGCAGCAGUGGGGAAUUUUGGACAAUGGGCGAAAGCCUGAUCCAGCCAUGCCGCGUGCAGGAUGAAGGCCUCGGUUGUAAC
RNAcentral lists this ribosomal RNA (415 nucleotides) under uncultured microorganism. RNAcentral's name for it is "bacterial SSU rRNA". It matches the Rfam family "Bacterial small subunit ribosomal RNA", at positions 9 to 429 of the family's 1533-position model. The record is from RNAcentral.